Molecule: ribosomal RNA, 505 nt
Filed under: uncultured bacterium
Lineage: Bacteria
Description: partial 16S ribosomal RNA
Rfam family: Bacterial small subunit ribosomal RNA
Source: RNAcentral
GACGAACGCUGGCGGCGUGCCUAAUACAUGCAAGUAGAACGCACAGUUUAUACCGUAGCUUGCUACACCAUAAACUGUGAGUUGCGAACGGGUGAGUAACGCGUAGGUAACCUGCCUGGUAGCGGGGGAUAACUAUUGGAAACGAUAGCUAAUACCGCAUAAUAUUGAUUAUUGCAUGAUAAUUGAUUGAAAGAUGCUAUUGCAUCACUACCAGAUGGACCUGCGUUGUAUUAGCUAGUAGGUGAGGUAACGGCUCACCUAGGCGACGAUACAUAGCCGACCUGAGAGGGUGAUCGGCCACACUGGGACUGAGACACGGCCCAGACUCCUACGGGAGGCAGCAGUAGGGAAUCUUCGGCAAUGGACGAAAGUCUGACCGAGCAACGCCGCGUGAGUGAAGAAGGUUUUCGGAUCGUAAAGCUCUGUUGUAAGAGAAGAACGGGUGUGAGAGUGGAAAGUUCACACUGUGACGGUAUCUGAACAGAAAGGGACGGCUAACUACGUG